GCUGGCGGCAGGCUUAACACAUGCAAGUCGAGCGGGGUGAUGGUGCUUGCACUAUCACUUAGCGGCGGACGGGUGAGUAAUGCUUAGGAAUCUGCCUAUUAGUGGGGGACAACAUUUCGAAAGGAAUGCUAAUACCGCAUACGUCCUACGGGAGAAAGCAGGGGAUCUUCGGACCUUGCGCUAAUAGAUGAGCCUAAGUCGGAUUAGCUAGUUGGUGGGGUAAAGGCCUACCAAGGCGACGAUCUGUAGCGGGUCUGAGAGGAUGAUCCGCCACACUGGGACUGAGACACGGCCCAGACUCCUACGGGAGGCAGCAGUGGGGAAUAUUGGACAAUGGGCGGAAGCCUGAUCCAGCCAUGCCGCGUGUGUGAAGAAGGCCUUAUGGUUGUAAAGCACUUUAAGCGAGGAGGAGGCUACUUUAGUUAAUACCUAGAGAUAGUGGACGUUACUCGCAGAAUAAGCACCGGCUAACUCUGUGCCAGCAGCCGCGGUAAUACAGAGGGUGCAAGCGUUAAUCGGAUUUACUGGGCGUAAAGCGCGCGUAGGCGGCUAAUUAAGUCAAAUGUGAAAUCCCCGAGCUUAACUUGGGAAUUGCAUUCGAUACUGGUUAGCUAGAGUGUGGGAGAGGAUGGUAGAAUUCCAGGUGUAGCGGUGAAAUGCGUAGAGAUCUGGAGGAAUACCGAUGGCGAAGGCAGCCAUCUGGCCUAACACUGACGCUGAGGUGCGAAAGCAUGGGGAGCAAACAGGAUUAGAUACCCUGGUAGUCCAUGCCGUAAACGAUGUCUACUAGCCGUUGGGGCCUUUGAGGCUUUAGUGGCGCA
Molecule: ribosomal RNA, 821 nt
Filed under: bacterium PSB-1-5
Lineage: Bacteria
Description: bacterial SSU rRNA
Rfam family: Bacterial small subunit ribosomal RNA
Source: RNAcentral